This 72-nucleotide transfer RNA is filed under the name Cellulomonas sp. RNAcentral's name for it is "tRNA-Gln". It matches the Rfam family "tRNA". Rfam says of the family: Transfer RNA (tRNA) molecules are approximately 80 nucleotides in length. Their secondary structure includes four short double-helical elements and three loops (D, anti-codon, and T loops). RNAcentral also lists the same sequence under 1 other name. The record is from RNAcentral. Lineage: Bacteria; Bacillati; Actinomycetota; Actinomycetes; Micrococcales; Cellulomonadaceae.
UGGGGUAUGGUGUAACUGGCAGCACGAGGGAUUCUGGUUCCCUUAGUCUAGGUUCGAAUCCUGGUACCCCAG